Dermacentor albipictus is the source of this 308-nucleotide long non-coding RNA. RefSeq lists it as uncharacterized. The record is from RefSeq and is a predicted model, not a curated record. Lineage: Eukaryota; Metazoa; Arthropoda; Arachnida; Ixodida; Ixodidae.
CUCGUGCGCAGCGAGCGACACGCCACGAGUGAGUCCGGAACACUUAUUUUGGACAUGUGGCGGCCCACGCAGCGCGAGCGCUUCGCAUGUUACGUCAACUGCAGCACUAUUUUCUCACCCAUGUUACUUCAAACGCAGAGGUGGGCCUAUAGCUGCAUCGCUACCGGUUCGCUACCCAUGUGGGAAGAGAGGCAAGAGAGUGGCCACCUAAAAGAGCUCCUUGCAUCACGCAGCGCGGAAAAAAGGCUACCCACUUGGCCGUCGGCCCGCCGCAAUGAUUGCCGGUUCUUGAACCAUUCCUUCUCGAG